This 872-nucleotide unclassified non-coding RNA is filed under the name Hevea brasiliensis (rubber tree). The record is from RNAcentral. Lineage: Eukaryota; Viridiplantae; Streptophyta; Magnoliopsida; Malpighiales; Euphorbiaceae.
AAGAAAACAAAAUCUGACAUCAAUCUCAUGCAAUUAAAAAACUACCCUUUCAUUGAUUUCCGUCGCUUCCUUGAAGCCUCUGAGAGUGAAUAACGGCAACGUCCAUCUUCUGCACUGUGCCAGAGAGCGAUGCAAAGCUAUAACAUGGGAGUUUUUUUUGUAAUGAUCGCUUAUUGGUUUGUAAGCUCGUUCAAUCUUGCUCGGCGCUGCUUUCAGUGAAGCCAAUCUAAUAAAAAGUGGCAUCCAAAUCCAAUUAUGCUUCGUCACAAGAACUCUGUAGAAGAAUCUCACUAUGACAUUUUAUCUGUGAAAGAAGAUGCUAGCUAUGAAGAAAUCCGUACCAGCUACAGAGUAGCCAUCCUCAAUUAUCAUCCUGAUAAGCUGCAAAACACACGUCAGAUGUCUCAUGUUCUAAAUGAGGUGCAAGAUAGAUUUUUGAAAAUACAGAAGGCUUGGGAGAUCCUUGGCAAUUCAAAAUUACGUGCUGUUUAUGAUAGUGAGCUGCGAGCUUCAAGAAAAGAUAGAGGAGAUGGAGUUGGAGUUGCAGCGGAAGAUGUCAGUUUGGGGGACAUGGAGAUUGAAGAUGGUGGAGAAGUGUUGGAGCUCUUUUACCAGUGCCGAUGUGGUGAUUAUUUCUCUGUUGAUUCUUUGGAGUUGGGGAAAAUGGGAUAUACGUUGUUGAGGGAUGAAAAUAAGUUAUCUUUUGAAACAGCAGCAGCAGAUACUUUAGCAUCAGUUAUUCUUCCUUGUGGUUCAUGUUCUUUGCAAGUCCGUCUAUUGAUUAAUGCAUGCAUGAAGGUUCCAAUCAAUGAGAAUAAUCUGUAAUUUUGGAGAUAAUCUUGGCUUGAUUUUUUUUUUUGUUGCGUGUUUUG